Molecule: non-coding RNA, 3564 nt
Organism: Salvelinus sp. IW2-2015
Lineage: Eukaryota; Metazoa; Chordata; Actinopteri; Salmoniformes; Salmonidae
Source: RefSeq, a predicted model, not a curated record
AGGAUACAGACUGUCUCAGACGGCCCUGGGCACACUGAGGAUACAGACUGUCUCAGACGGCCCUGGGCACACUGUGUGUGUGUUCCUGUUCUUGUUUCUCUGACACCCCUCUAGCCAGACCGCUAGCAGACGAAGGUAGACAGAGAUAGUUUUGUAUGACAGGCAACGUAUGACUGUCACUUUGUCAGAUGAUGGACUGGUGUGAUGGGCUUAGAUGAUUCCUCUUGUUUUAAUUUGAUUUAUAAACCAAAUGCUUUUAUUUUCUCUUUGUUUGUUGAAAGUGUGUGUCCAUCUGCACUUUUAGUCACAGUUUUACAGGCUGGGUAGAAGGCUGGCUCUGAAACACAUGACUAAAAAUGGAUCUUCUCUAGGAUUGAAGUUGUGAGCUGCCGUUUCCAACAAUUGUCAAAGGACGUGCAUGAGGUAGAAUGUGACGUUAUUGAUAACACGUCCAAUACCAGAGCUGAUGUAAAGAUCUUUACAUACUCUGUGGCUAUGUCUAGGUUGAGGACUGUAUAGUGACAGACAGCAGUCCAGCCACUCUGCAGACCAGGCUCCAAGCCUCCCAACCCCUGUCAUGGGGGACUCAGGGCCCAGAUUACCCGCUUCACCGAUGGGCUCUGGGAGUAGACAAGACUUGGUGGAGUGGACAGUAAUACCAGGAAAUAUGACGCGCUCUGUUAGGAUAUCGAUUGAUGAUAAUUGAAAUAACCCUGACUGUGAGUGUGAAUCUUUCAAGUGUGUGUGUGUGUGCGCGAAAGAGAGGGAGUGAGUGUGUGUUACUCUGCGACAGAGAAUAGCCAUGUUUCCUAUGUUUCUGCCUCUCAGCCUCUGUUAGAACAGCACAGCUCCCCAGAGACAAGCAGGAGAGUCAGGAACCCCAAUUAAUUGUAAUUGGCACCGCUGUAAGCAUAACUAUUGUUGCUCCGUUCCACUAAUGAAGCACGGCUCUCUCGGCCCCCAUGUAUUUCCUCCACUAGAAUCUAUAGAAUUGACUCAGGGAGGAAGGAACCGCUGCUGGUCUGGCUGUUCUGGGUAGUACAACACUGCCACACUGUGGCCAAGUGGGGAAUUGCUCUGUUGGUUUAAUGUCUGCAUGCAUUCAUUCAUGUCUCUAGUUUCAGUAGUUGUUAAUCUCAGGAAGAAAAAUGUUCGCAGCUUGAAUGUGACUGGAGCCCUGUAUUAGAUGUAUUUCCAAGUAACACUACAAGGUAGCAGUGAUACCUUCUGUUUGGUGUCACUGCGUGUCACAGGAAUCUCCCCAUUAAUCACUUGUAGUUUUAUAUUGCACUUUCUUUUUGACACUUGUGUGAUGAAUCUCUGUUUUAUACACCUGCAAUAGUCCAUAUUUACUCCUGUAGUACUCCUUGUUCCAUUUUCUCUCCUGUAAUAGUCCUUGUUCUGUUUUCUCUCCUGUAAUAGUCCUUGUUCCGUUUUCUCUCCUGUAAUAGUCCUUGUUCCGUUUUCUCUCCUGUAAUAGUCCCUGUUCUGUUAUCUCUCCUGUAAUAGUCCUUGUUCUGUUUUCUCUCCUGUAAUAGUCCUUGUUCCGUUUUCUCUCCUGCUCGUCUAAUAGUUGCAGGUUGAUGUUUAUUUUCAUGAAUCUUGCCCAGGAGGCAGAACUGACCCAUUUCCACUAGAUGGGCCAGCUGCAAAGUUAAAAUUGGCCAUAUUGUAAAAAUGUAUGAAAACCACAAUGUGCUUUUUGGAUGUAAUUUAAGAUCAGGAUUAGGCUUAACAGUGUGGUUAGGGUUAUGUUUAAAAUAAGAUUGUUUGAAUUUGUGGCUGUGCCAGCUAGUGACCACUCUGCAGAGUUGCCUCCAGGGCAAGAUUCAUGACAAUAAAAUGCCAACCUGCUUAAUAAUCCAUGUUCUAUGUUCUCUGCUACUCGUGUAAUAGUCCAUGUUCUGGGUUCUAUGUUCUCUGCUACUCGUGUAAUAGUCCAUGUUCUGGGUUCUAUGUUCUCUGCUACUCGUUUAAUAGUCCAUGUUCUGGGUUCUAUGUUCUCUGCUACUCGUGUAAUAGUCCAUGUUCUGGGUUCUAUGUUCUCUGCUACUCAUGUAAUAGUCCAUGUUCUGGGUUCUAUGUUCUCUGCUACUCGUGUAAUAGUCCAUGUUCUACAUUCUAACCUACUUAACAGUCCCUUUUCUGUGUUUUAAUGUAAUUGUCCAUGUUCUGUGUUCUCUCCUAGUCAUGUAAUAGAACAUGUUCUAUUCGUGUAAUAGUCUGUUUUGUCUGUGAGCUCCCUCUCAGGUAAUGGAGGCCCUGCAUAUGAAAUGACAUGCUAAUGAGGGCCCUCUUAUCUUGUCGGGGGGCCAAAUUCCGACAGUGAAUUGCGACAGUUGUAACAAAAGUAACAGAGCGUCUAUUCAGCCUGCACUAAUCCAGAUGGGAAAGUCAAACAGCAGAAAGUCCGCCGCACAAACUCAUUUCAUCACGUUAUUCAUUUAGAUAUUGCCUUGCCGCUGCUGAGGAGGAAGGGGAAAGAAGAGCCCUCUGAAAUGACCAACAUGGCUGAGGUGUUUUGCUCUACAUGGUUCCUCCACUCCCUCUCCCCUCUUAUCGCCUUAAUUCAUCCCGCCAAUCUGGGCUGUCUUUACCCACUAAAUUUCCCUUUGACACGCAUGCCUUCUCUCGCAUAAUCCUCCCUCCCGGGCAGAAUUAAAAAUUGAGAAAAAGAGGAGGGAAUAGGAAGGGACAGGACAGGUGGCUGGAGAAUCCUUGAAAUAAUGCCACAGACAGACAGACAGACAGAGCAAUGAUUUGACCAGAUUCAAACAGGGGCUGAUAGAGUUUUUAUGGAGAGGAAAAGGUGACAGGUGAAAAUGUGUGGAGACAGAGAAGUCCCUAAAGAGCCAGGUUAUAAGAGUCCCUUCUAAAUUGUGGGGCGAGAAUGACUUCAUGUGUGGAAAUAGUGGCAAGGAAGAUGAUAGAAUGUCUGAUUUGAGAGAAAAAAAUGGUCUGUGAAAGGCUGAAAUUGAGAAAGGUAGCAGCAACUAUUUUCCUGUCUGCUGCCACCAUUAAACUGUUGUCUAUUUGUGACUUCUUCCUAACGGCCAUGCUACCAUGCAGCCAUUAGGGGUACGGCGUUGCCAUCAGCCAUUUUGGUUGGUUGCUGUGUAGCAGGUAGAACGUCCCAUUGACGGCACGUGCAUUGUUGCUGAAGUUUAAGACUGGAAGACUGUUAAUGUUUGUAUCUCCAAAUACCUGAGGACUAAUCAGGUUACAGCCUCGUCUAGACAUCAGGUUACAGCGUCGUCUAGACAUCAGGUUACAGCGUCGUCUAGACAUCAGGUUACAGCGUCGUCUAGACAUCAGGUUACAGCGUCGUCUCGACAUCAGGUUACAGCCUCGUCUCGACAUCAGGUUACAACUUCGUCUAGACAUCGUGUUACAGCCUCGUCUAGACAUCGGGUUACAGCCUCGUCUAGACAUCGGGUUACAGCAGUCCUUCUCAAAUAGUGGGGUGCACCCCCCUGGGGGGUGUGACCCCGGGGAACAUGCUUUUUUUUGCCGCAGGGAGUAGUUUUUUUUUGCACCAAACAAGAGCACACAGCAGGAUAUAUG